AACAAACGCUGGCGGCGUGCCUAAUACAUGCAAGUCGAACGGGGAAAGUUCUUCGGAAUGAGUACUAGUGGCGUACGGGUGAGCAACACGUGGAUAAUCUUCCUUCAGGUGGGGAAUAACGGGUCGAAAGAUUCGCUAAUACCGCAUAAGGCCACAGUAACUUUGGUUACAGGGGUUAAAGACUUCGGUCGCCUUUAGAUGAGUCUGCGUCCGAUUAGCUAGUUGGUGAGGUAAUGGCUCACCAAGGCGACGAUCGGUAACUGGUCUGAGAGGACGGCCAGUCACACUGGGACUGAGACACGGCCCAGACUCCUACGGGAGGCAGCAGUAGGGAAUUUUGCACAAUGGAGGAAACUCUGAUGCAGCGACGCCGCGUGAGUGAUGAAGGCCUUCGGGUCGUAAAGCUCUGUUCUCAGGG
This 418-nucleotide ribosomal RNA is filed under the name uncultured bacterium. RNAcentral's name for it is "bacterial SSU rRNA". It matches the Rfam family "Bacterial small subunit ribosomal RNA", at positions 29 to 444 of the family's 1533-position model. The record is from RNAcentral.